Molecule: ribosomal RNA, 522 nt
Filed under: Coleophoma empetri
Lineage: Eukaryota; Fungi; Ascomycota; Leotiomycetes; Helotiales; Dermateaceae
Description: eukaryotic LSU rRNA
Rfam family: 5.8S ribosomal RNA (bases 179-330)
Source: RNAcentral
ACCUGCGGAGGGAUAUUACAGAGCAUCAUGCCCUUCGGGGUAAAUCUCCCACCCUAUGUAUUACAUACUUUUGUUGCUUUGGCGGGCCGCCUCGGCCACCGGCUUCGGCUGGUGCGUGCCCGCCAGAGGACCCCAAACUCUGAAUGUUAGUGUCGUCUGAGUACUAUAUAAUAGUUAAAACUUUCAACAACGGAUCUCUUGGUUCUGGCAUCGAUGAAGAACGCAGCGAAAUGCGAUAAGUAAUGUGAAUUGCAGAAUCAGUGAAUCAUCGAAUCUUUGACGCACAUGGCGCCCUCUGGUAUUCCGGAGGGCAUGCCUGUUCGAGCGUCAUUACACCCUCAAGCUCUGCUUGGCCUUGGGCAUCACCGGCAACGGUGGCCUCAAACCCAGUGGCGGUGCCAUCUGGCUCUAAGCGUAGUAAUUCUUCUCGCUAUAGGUGCCCGGUGGAUGCUUGCCAACAACCCCCAACUUCUUAAGGUGACCUCGGAUCAGGUAGGGAUACCCGCUGAACUUAAGCAUAUC